This 442-nucleotide ribosomal RNA is filed under the name uncultured bacterium. RNAcentral describes it as "partial 16S ribosomal RNA". It matches the Rfam family "Bacterial small subunit ribosomal RNA", at positions 338 to 795 of the family's 1533-position model. The record is from RNAcentral.
CCUACGGGUGGCAGCAGUGGGGAAUAUUGGGCAAUGGGCGCAAGCCUGACCCAGCAACGCCGCGUGAAGGAUGAAUGCUUUCGGGUUGUAAACUUCUUUUGAUAGGGAAGAAUAACGUUCCGUUACUGGCGAAUUAGCCGUGGCUAACUACGUGCCAUCAGCCGCGGUAAUACGUAGGUUGCCAGCGUUAUCCGGAUUUACUGGGUUUAAAGGGCGUGUAGCCGGGUUGGUAAGUCAGUUGUGAAAGCUUGCGGCUUAACCGUAAAACUGGAUUUGAAACUGGCAGUCUUGAGUACAGUAGAGGCAGACGGAAUUCGUGGUGUAGCGGUGAAAUGCUUAGAUAUUAGGAAGAACUCCGAUUGCGAAGGCAGUUUACUGGACAGCAACUGACAGUGAGGCGCGAAAGUGUGGGUAGCAAACAGGAUUAGAUACCCGAGUAGUC